Molecule: small RNA, 1464 nt
Filed under: Osedax japonicus
Lineage: Eukaryota; Metazoa; Annelida; Polychaeta; Sabellida; Siboglinidae
Description: eukaryotic LSU rRNA
Rfam family: Eukaryotic large subunit ribosomal RNA (bases 1115-1464)
Source: RNAcentral
AUCGGUGUCAGUAACUGGGAACCAUGCACUGGAAACGAGAAGAACUCUGAACUUGGCCAUUUAGAGGAAGUAAAAGUCGUAACAAGGUUUCCGUAGGUGAACCUGCGGAAGGAUCAUUAUCGAAGAUGCGAACUGAAUAAGUUUGUUGAAAAGAUAUUCCGACUGACCACUAAGUCUCCCGUAACGUAUGUUUUCAUCGUUACAUUGGUAUUUAGAGAUCGGACUCUCUAUGUUUUCUUGAUGUUUGAUUAUUUGGCUCUACGAUUAUCCGUGUUCUCAGGAAUGCAAUUAUCAUUAGUUGAAUGUCAUUUAUCGUCAUGUAAAAUGUUAGUAAAUAGUUGUUUUCCAAAACGAUUGUUUACCGGAGUUUAACGAGUUAGCCCAAUAAGGUGGAGUAACCGUCCGACACUGUCUACUCAUAUUUAUUUUAAGUAUUUGUAAUUUUAAUUAAUUACGUACGGUAUCCAUAUGGCGUUGCACCAUUGCGUUACUUGAAUCGGUGGAAACACCAUUGCGACAAACACAACUCUAUGCGGUGGAUCACUCGGCUCGUAUAUCGAUGAAGAGCGUAGCUAGCUACGUUAACUAAUGUGAAUUGCAGAACACAUUGAUCAUUGAAAUCUUGAACGCACAUUGCGGCUAAGCUUUACGGCUUAGCCACGUCUGUCUCAGGGUCGUCGAACAAUACUUAACGCAGUUAUUUUUCGGAAUAAUUUUGCGGCUUGGACGUACGAUUUUUCCAUUUCGUGGAACGCUAUCGACGUUUUAAAUUCAUAAUUCGUUAAUCGUAUUAUCGCAUCGUUUUCCUUAACCGGUUUUCGAUUCGACUUGCGACGGAUUGGUUACAUUAGUUUAUCUAUAGUAGUCUUCGGUUUUUCUGAUGUCAUUAUUACAAUGGCGUUGAAUGUAUUUGUCGCAAUAUUCUAUUUUAUUGUAAAAUGAAUGUUAUUUCUAUGCAUAGACUAGUGUUUCCAUUACAUACGUUGCGGUUGAUACAAUUUGAUUAUUUAUAAUCUUUGCGUAUGCGUAUUGGUAUUUGAUUUCUAAUUUCGAUUAUUUAUAAUCAAGAUUGCGAAUGUCUUGUAGCCUAGUUGUUAUAAGCACUUUUCGAAUUCGACCUGAGAUCAGACGGGACUACCCGCUGAAUUUAAGCAUAUUAGUAAGCGGAGGAAAAGAAACUAACAAGGAUUCCCCUAGUAACGGCGAGUGAAGCGGGAAAAGCCCAGCACUGAAUCCCUUGAGAUUUUCUCUAUGGGAACUGUAGUGUAUAGGACGGCCUUUGAUUUAACAGGGUAGCGUUUAAGUCCUCCUGAUCGAGGCUUCUGAUCCCAUAGAGGGUGUCAGGCCUGUAUAGGCCCUAUCGUUAAGUCUCUGUGUGUUCCUCGGAGUCGGGUUGUUUGAGAAUGCAGCCCAAAGUGGGUGGUAAACUCCAUCUAAGGCUAAAUAUUGAUACGAGUCCGAUAG